GAUGAACGCUGGCGGCGUGCCUAAUACAUGCAAGUCGAGCGAACGGACGAGAAGCUUGCUUUUCUGAUGUUAGCGGCGGACGGGUGAGUAACACGUGGAUAACCUACCUAUAAGACUGGGAUAACUUCGGGAAACCGGAGCUAAUACCGGAUAAUAUUUUGAACCGCAUGGUUCAAAAGUGAAAGACGGUCUUGCUGUCACUUAUAGAUGGAUCCGCGCUGCAUUAGCUAGUUGGUAAGGUAACGGCUUACCAAGGCAACGAUGCAUAGCCGACCUGAGAGGGUGAUCGGCCACACUGGAACUGAGACACGGUCCAGACUCCUACGGGAGGCAGCAGUAGGGAAUAUUGCACAAUGGGCGAAAGCCUGACCGAGCAAUACCGCGUGAGUGAUGAAGGUCUUCGGAUCGUAAAACUCUGUUAUUAGGAAAGAAAAGAUGUGUAAGUAAAUGUGGACGUCUUGACGGUACCUAAUCAAAAAGCAACGGCUAACUUCGUG
Molecule: ribosomal RNA, 497 nt
Filed under: uncultured bacterium
Lineage: Bacteria
Description: partial 16S ribosomal RNA
Rfam family: Bacterial small subunit ribosomal RNA
Source: RNAcentral